AGGAAGGCAGCAGAGCUGCGGGAGGCUGCGCGGGUGGCGU
This 40-nucleotide non-coding RNA is filed under the name Crustomastix stigmatica. The record is from RNAcentral. Lineage: Eukaryota; Viridiplantae; Chlorophyta; Mamiellophyceae; Dolichomastigales; Crustomastigaceae.